This 392-nucleotide ribosomal RNA is filed under the name uncultured bacterium. Its description in RNAcentral is "partial 16S ribosomal RNA". It matches the Rfam family "Bacterial small subunit ribosomal RNA", at positions 523 to 918 of the family's 1533-position model. The record is from RNAcentral.
AUACGGAGGAUCCGAGCGUUAUCCGGAUUUAUUGGGUUUAAAGGGUGCGCAGGCGGCCAUUUAAGUCAGCGGUUAAAUCGUGGGGCUCAACCCCAUUCUGCCGUUGAUACUGGGUGGCUUGAUUGCGGUCGAGGUUGGCGGAAUUCGUUGUGUAGCGGUGAAAUGCAUAGAUAUGACGAAGAACACCGAUUGCGUAGGCAGCUGACCAGACCGCAAAUGACGCUCAUGCGCGAAAGUGCGGGGAUCGAACAGGAUUAGAUACCCUGGUAGUCCGCACAGUAAACGAUGAAUACUUGUUUUCGGCGAUAUAAUGUCGGAGGCAAAGCGAAAGCGAUAAGUAUUCCACCUGGGGAGUACGCCGGCAACGGUGAAACUCAAAGGAAUUGGCGGGG